This 105-nucleotide small nuclear RNA is filed under the name Megaselia scalaris. Lineage: Eukaryota; Metazoa; Arthropoda; Insecta; Diptera; Phoridae. The record is from RNAcentral.
GGAUGCUCUACACAUUAAUCUAUAGACUCUCUCUCUCUUCAGAGAAGAUUAGCAUGGCCCCUGCGCAAGGAUGACAUGCACAAUCGUGAAGCGUUCUACAUUUUU